This 253-nucleotide ribosomal RNA is filed under the name uncultured bacterium. RNAcentral describes it as "partial 16S ribosomal RNA". It matches the Rfam family "Bacterial small subunit ribosomal RNA", at positions 524 to 776 of the family's 1533-position model. The record is from RNAcentral.
UACGUAGGGAGCAAGCGUUGUCCGGAAUCAUUGGGCGUAAAGGGUGCGUAGGCGGCGGGGUAAGUCAGGUGUGAAAUCCCGGAGCUCAACUCCGGAACUGCACUUGAUACUACCUUGCUAGAGUACUGGAGAGGAGACUGGAAUUUACGGUGUAGCAGUGAAAUGCGUAGAUAUCGUAAGGAAGACCAGUGGCGAAGGCGAGUCUCUGGACAGUUACUGACGCUGAGGCACGAAGGCCAGGGGAGCAAACGGG